Long non-coding RNA from Photinus pyralis (common eastern firefly), 564 nucleotides. RefSeq lists it as uncharacterized. The transcript has 2 exons. The record is from RefSeq and is a predicted model, not a curated record. NCBI's taxonomy places the organism in Eukaryota, Metazoa, Arthropoda, Insecta, Coleoptera, Lampyridae.
CAAGAUGGUACUCUCAAAACAGUUAGAAAAAAAAGUGGUGAAGGGGUCAGGUAUAUAAUACUCCAUGCAGGAUCAGAAGAUGGAUUUGUACCAAACGCAAGUCUAAUUUUUAAAUCUGGUAGCAAGUCCGGAGACUAUCAUGACUCCAUGAAUUGCCUUAACUUUGAGAAGUGGUUUGAACAACAAUUGAUCCCGAACUUGGAUGAACCUUCUCUUAUAAUUAUGGACAACGCUUCUUACCAUUCAGGAUUGGUAGAAAAAAGUCCAAAUCAAUGCUGGACAAAAAUGUCACUUAUAAAGUGGCUAACAUCACGAGACAUUACAUUAGCACCAACAAUGAUGCAAGAUCAGAUCUGGGAAGUAGUGAAAAAUCAUAUACCACCAAAAUUAUUUAGAUUGAACGAAUUAGCAUUACAACAUGGUCAUCGUGUUUUGGGACUUCCUCCAUAUCACUGCGAGUAUAAUCCAAUCGAAAUGGUAUGGUCAGAAUGCAAACGGCAUUACGAUGCAAGGAUCGGUUCAAUUCAGCCUGUCACACACAGUGCCGUUUUGUCUUUAUGGAAU